Heterocephalus glaber (naked mole-rat) is the source of this 1465-nucleotide long non-coding RNA. The record is from Ensembl. Lineage: Eukaryota; Metazoa; Chordata; Mammalia; Rodentia; Bathyergidae.
AAUUUAGGAGAUGUAACUUUUGGAUUUGGACCAAACCCCCAUUUGACUUCAAACUUGGCUCCUAAAUUUAACAGAUUAAGAAAAGUGGGGAGUGUUGGAGAACUUUUAUUUUCUCAUACAUGUUUCAACAAAAGAUAUUCUGCAAUGUCUACCACAUUGUUCUGGAUUCAAACAUUAGGACUCAGCAGGCCUACAGCAGGCUUUAGCUUGGCAGUGGUUUACUCAGAAAGCAGCUGGGUAAGAACUACAAGUGGCCAGCAGAGCAACACUGGGCCUCCUUCAGAAGACGACUUUUUAACAGCAGUCUCGUGUAGCACAGCAUCCACACAACUAUGAACCAUCGUAUCCCCAAGUGACAAGUCCUCAGAAGGGACAGGCAGUUCCAGGUUUUCACCCUCUCAGAAACCCAGUUAGAGCUUCCUAUACAUAUCUGGAGUUUUCUCUGUCCAGUUGCAACUUCUCAGUGAGGGUCAUUUUUAACAGGCGUGAAGUUCCCUGUCGACACAUACUGUCCCAUACAGUUUUCAGGGUAAUAUGACACAGGUUGGGUAAGUGAUGUCAGCAGUUAACAUUUUUACUUUUAACUGUUUAAGAAGUACAGAAAAAACACCAAGUACUGAUAGGUUCUUUCUCUGGAAGACAGACAACUGACGUGAGUGAUGAAAAUGUGACCCUCUCCCACUGAUGCUGGUGAGGUGUCUAAAUUAAAGUGAAGCAGCAACGUGAACCUGUCUGAGCAUCCUCUCAUCUCCUGCUCAGUCAUGAGCUAUGUCCAGGCACAGUGAGCCUUGUACUUCUAAUUCCUUUCUGGCUGUUCCAGCUCAGUUCAAUUAUAAGAAGGAGGAAGAAAAAAGUGGCACUCACAUUUCUCUACCUGUUCUGACUGCCAGGGAGUAGAUAAUCUACAGUAGGGUAUGAAAUGUGGCGAUGAGAUGGCGUCUCCAAAAUUAAGUCUUCCUUGGUAAGCUGGUUUAGUCUUGUGGGCUCUGAGAAGCUUUAACCUGGUGCAUGGUAAUUUCUUGCUAGAGGGACCAGCACCCUGAAACCCUACCUGAAAGCCAUCUCUGUCAGAUCUGCUGACUUACAUUCUCUCACACCUCCCCUGAAUGGUUACUUCUGUCAUAACAAAAUUCAUAUGCCAGUGGUACUGUGAGUGUGCCUGUUACUGAACACUUUAAGCAAUCCUCCUGAACAAUGGUCAGCCUAUUGUAUAACCUGACAUACACAUAAAAAAAAAGCCAGAAUGUUUGUACUUAGGAUUUGGGAAAAGAAUCUAAUCCAUUAAGUGUGUCACUGCCUUUAUUACAUAUUUACUAUGGAUUUUGAGUAAAAAUUCAGAACACAGUUCAAUAUGUAGAAAAAUAAAAUUUUGGCAAACUAGUGUUUAUGGAAGUUAGAUUGUAUACUAGUAUUUUCCACAUGCACUUAACAGUGGAAUAUUUACAGAUAACAUUCUAAGAAGUCA